RNAcentral lists this ribosomal RNA (2940 nucleotides) under Chloroflexota bacterium. RNAcentral's name for it is "Chloroflexi bacterium (freshwater metagenome) 23S ribosomal RNA". It matches the Rfam family "Bacterial large subunit ribosomal RNA". Lineage: Bacteria; Bacillati; Chloroflexota. The record is from RNAcentral.
AGUUAAGCUACUAAGGGCGUACGGUGGAUGCCUUGGCGUCAAGCGCCGAUGAAGGCCGUGGAUCACUGCGAUAAGCCUCGGGGAGCCGUGAACAGGCGUUAUAUCCGGGGAUGGCCGAAUGGGGAAACCCGCGCAGUUAAUUGCUGCGCAUCUGCAAAUGAAUCCAUAGUUUGCAGAAGGGAACCUGGGGAACUGAAACAUCUAAGUACCCAGAGGAAAGGAGAUCAUUCCGCAAGUAGUGGCGAGCGAACGCGGAACAGCUCAAACCGUUGAGGCUUGCUUCAACGGGGUUGUAGGACCCAGCAUAUGGGAGUCAUAAAUCAGAUGGUUAGUCGAAUGUCCUGGAAAGUUCAACCACAGAAGGUGACAGUCCUGUAGACAAAAACGAUCUGACUCUCGCUGGGCACCUGAGUACUACCGGGCACGCUAAUCCGGUAGGAAUCCGGGAAGCCCACUUCCCAAAGCUAAAUACGCUUGACGACCGAUAGUGAACAAGUACCGUGAGGGAAAGGUGAAAAGUACGGCUGCUAGCCGAGUGAAAUAGAACCUGAAACCGUAUGCUUACAAUCAGUCCGAGGACUAUGGCCCUUCGGGGCAAUGUCUGAGGGCGUGCCUUUUGGAGAAUGAGCCGGCGAGUUCAUCUUUGUGGCAAGCCUAAGCGAGUGUGACACGCGGAGGCGCAGCGAAAGCGAGUCUGAAUAGGGCGAUCAGUCGCAGGGAUGAGACACGAAACCUGGUGAGCUACCCAUGGCCAGGGUGAAGCGGGACUAAACCCCCGUGGAGGCCCGAACUCACUAAUCUUGCGAAAUUAGGAGAUGAGCUGUGGGUAGGGGUGAUAUGCCAACCGAACCAGGAGAUAGCUUGUUCUCUCCGAAAUAGCUUUAGGGCUAGCGUCACAUGUUUAGCAACGGAGGUAGAGCACUGGAUUGGCUAGGGGGCUUACUGCUUACCAAACCAAACCAAACUCCGAAUGCCGUUGCUCCAGAGUGUGGCAGUCGGACUACGGGUUAUGAGAUUCGUGGUCGAAAGGGAAAGAACCCAGACCAUCGGCUAAGGUCCCUAAAUUCAUGCUAAGUGGAAAACGAUGUGAGACUGUUUAGACAGCCAGGAGGUUGGCUUAGAAGCAGCCAUCCUUUAAAGAGUGCGUAAUAGCUCACUGGUCAAACGGUCUUGCGCGGACAACUUAACGGGGCUAAGCAUGAUACCGAAGCCAUGGACUUCGCCGUCAGGCGGAGUAGUAGGAGAGCGUUCCGGGAGCGAUGAAGUCAGAUCGAAAGAACUGGUGGAGCGACCGGAAGUGAGAAUGCCGGCUUGAGUAGCGUAAAACACGUGAGAACCGUGUUCACCGUAAGUCUAAGGUUUCCGACGGAAGGUCAGUCCGCGUCGGGUUAGUCGGCCCUAAGCCGAGGCCGCAAGGCGUAGGCGAUGGACAUCCGGUCAACAUUCCGGAACCGCCGAGCAUGAGCGAAGGAGUGACGCAGAAUGGUAGGCCAGCCUCCCCACUGGACAUGGGAGGUGCGAAAUCGUAGGCGUUGAGACUCGUAGGCAAAUCCGCGAGUUGAGCCGAGGAAAGAGCGUGGCGCAAGCCUGAAGUGGUUGAGCCAAGCUGCCGAGAAAAGCUUCGUAGCGUUGAGUGCUAGGCGUCCGUACCGCAAACCGACACUGGUAGACGGGUAGAAUAUACCAAGGUGAACGGGAGAACUCUCUCUAAGGAAUUAGGCAACAUGGCCCCGUAACUUCGGGAGAAGGGGCGCCUACUGGCGUGAAGCUGAUCAUGUGGAGCGCCGGUGGGUCGCAGUGAAAUGGCUCUAGUGACUGGUUAACAAAACCACAGGUCUCUGCAAAGCCGUAAGGCGAUGUAUAGGGGCUGACACCUGCCCAGUGCCGGAAGGUUAAGGGGAGUGGUUAGCGCAAGCGAAGCUACGAACCGAAGCCCCGGUGAACGGCGGCCGUAACUAUAACGGUCCUAAGGUAGCGAAAUUCCUAGUCGGGCAAGUUCCGACCCGCACGAACGGUGUAACAACUGGAGCACUGUCUCAGAGAGAGACCCGGCGAAAUAGAAGUGGCAGUGAAGAUGCUGCCUACCCGCAGCAGGACAAAAAGACCCCGUGGAGCUUUACUAUACCCUGGCAUUGCGUUAGGACUUGAUUUGCGUAGGAUAGGUGGGAGGCUUUGAAUCUGGGAUUCCGGUCUCGGAGGAGCCAACGGUGAAAUACCACCCUGAUUAAGUUUUGACUCUAACCUCAGACCCUGAUCGGGCUGGGGGACCGUGCCAGGCGGGUAGUUUGACUGGGGCGGUCACCUCCAAAAGAGUAACGGAGGUGCCCAAAGGUUCCCUCAGGUUGAAUGGAAACCAACCGCAGAGUGUAAAGGCACAAGGGAGCUUGACUGCAAGACCAACGCGUCGAGCAGAGACGAAAGUCGGGCUUAGUGAUCCCACGGUACCGAGUGGAAGGGCCGUGGCUCAUCGGAUAAAAGCUACCCCGGGGAUAACAGGCUGGUGACGUCCAAGAGUCCACAUCGACGACGUCGCUCGGCACCUCGAUGUCGGCUCAUCGCAUCCUGGGGCUGGACAAGGUCCCAAGGGUUGGGCUGUUCGCCCAUUAAAGCGGUACGUGAGCUGGGUUCAGACCGUCGUGAGACAGGUCGGUCUCUAUCCGCUGUGGGCGUAGGGGAUUUGAAGGGAUCUGCUCCUAGUACGAGAGGACCGGAGUGGACAGACCUCUGGUGUGUCAGUUGUCAUGCCAAUGGCACCGCUGAGUAGCUACGUCUGGCAGAGAUAACCGCUGAAUGCAUCUAAGUGGGAAACUCGCCCUAAGAUUAGAUCCCCCGUGGCAUAAGCCAGAAAGACCGCAGGAAGACCACCUGCUACUAUAGGCGACCUCGUGUAUGCUCUGUAAGGAGCGAGCGAAGGCGUACUAAUGGUCGAGGGCUUAAUUC